This is a long non-coding RNA of Equus caballus (horse), 2181 nucleotides long. The record is from Ensembl. Lineage: Eukaryota; Metazoa; Chordata; Mammalia; Perissodactyla; Equidae.
AAGGCCCUUUGUCUUGGGGAAAGCGGCAAUUGAUCAGUUCUCUUAGAGCCAGAUAGCUGGGCUUUUCAGGGCAGAUGCUAAUGCUGCCCUUUAGAAAGCUCAGGAAUGCAGGUGACCUUCUUGGGUAACAACCUCCUUCCUCGCGGCUUGUCUGUCAUGUUGUCUGCACAGGGAUAUGCUUGGAGAACGUAGGGCCUCAGGGUCCUACGGAAUAAAAUCAACGAUUUGUUGAAGCUCCCUAUGAAGCCAGAACUUACAGAGGAGCCAUUGGGAUGUGACGGGGGUAGAAAGAGAAGAGUCAACGGCGUGUGUGUGGUCUCCAGUUUAGAAGACAGAGAGAGUGCUGCUCCCAGGACUGGAAUGGGGAUGCUGAUCGGCACCAUCUUGUUCACUGUCGAAUCCCCCAAGUUCAGCACAGUGACGAGCGCCUAACAGAUGCUUUAGACAUAUUUUUGGAUGAUUCAAUAAAUAAAUGAACAAAACUGAAGUCAGCAUGUGCUCUCAGAGAAAGUGAAGGAAUAAAUCAGGGGUCAAAAACUCUUUCCCUGGGGCCAGCCCGGUGGCGCAGCGGUUAAGUUCGCACAUUCCACUUCGGUGGCCGGGUGCCGGUGUUCACCGGUUCGGAUCCCGGAGGCAGACAUGGCACCGCUUGGCAAGCCAUGCUGUGGUAGGAGUCCCACAUAUAAAGCAGAGGAAGAUGGGGACGGAUGUUAGCUCAGGGCCAGUCUUCCUCAACAAAAAGAGGAGGAUUGGCAGCAGUUAGCUCAGGGCUGAUCUUCCUCAAAAAAAAAAAAAAAAACUCUUUCCCUUCAGGGCCCCUAUUAGUCAGGGCUCAGCUGCAGAUAAGAGUAACCAAUCCACCUAGUUUAAGCAGAAAUGAAUUUAAUUCCAGGAAUUAAGUGCCUACAGAGUCAUUGGAAGUGAUGGAGGAACAGAUAAUCUCUAGGCUGAGAAGAGAUUCCAAAAAACCCCACAGAACUGGUCCACCGAGGGAAAGGAAUUGCUACUUCUGCUAUAAUCAGGAAGCUACAGGGGUAGGAGGCAACUGCUGGCUCCAUGUCUACACCACUGGCGGUUGGGGGUCAAAAAGCUGCCCCUAGAACAGCUGGCUCCAGAGCCGCGUUGUACCUGCUGGAAUCCACCACAGCAAAACAGCUGCUGCCACUCUCCCCUGCGAGUCCCAGUAAGUGUGUCCCAUGGUGACUGAGUCCCUCCUGGAGCCACACCUGCAGCGAGUUUGGGAAAUGCAGACCCUAGCUUUCCAGCCUCUGCCGUGGAGGAAGUUAUCCCAGAAGGAGGUUGGAACAGAAGCUGAGUGAGCCAACCGACGCUCUCCACUACAGGUGCCAAGCAGAUGCAUGUGCUGCACCUGGAACCUCAAGCACCAGGCAUCUUCGUGAACACCCCCUUCCGACCCAAGCGCACACACUGAGGAAAGGCCGUGCGAGGGCCCUGUGAGAAGGUGGCCUUCUGGAAACCGGGAAUAGAGUCCUCAUGGAACCAACACUGCCAGGACCUUCAUCGUGGACGUCCAGCCCCCAGAACUGGUCAAGGUUCUGCAGACUUCUCAACAGAUCUCUGAAUCCGCCUGGUCCAGGUCCCCCGCCCAGGGAGCCAUACUCAGAACAAGAGCAGCUGGGAGUCAAAGCACAUUUGGUUCACGUCCAAAGUAGCAUCCGACAGCCCUCCAGGAGGGGGCUCCCUGGGAGAAACCAGGUUGGCCAGGAGGCUCCAGCUAUCUGAGCUCCUCCCCCUGAAACUGAACUGAACUGAAGGUGUCUGGGGCUGUAGGGCAGCCUAGAAGCAGUGAGACCACCAGCGGCAGGCGUGGGGAGGGCAGACCCCACCUCUGUGCGCUUGCCACAUAGGUACAGACAGCGCCUGGGGGCUUCCUUCCAAGGUGGUGUGACUGCCCAUUAGCAAAAUGCGGCCAAGCGAAUGCCAAGUUCUGAUCAGUCAGGUCAGCAACUCCCCUCCCCCAGAAUGAGGAACACCCUCCUCCCAACAUCCCCUGGCUAAACCACCGUUCCCGCCUUCCGUGGGUUUCCAUGCUCUGCCCCCUCCCACUUGCUGUCCUGGCUGCUUCAGUUCAUCAACAUCCCCCCGAGAGUGUGGAGCCCAGAAUGGGUACCUUGUUCUCCCUUGUUUUGCUUGAAUGCAGGAAAUAAAUCUCCGUUUCAG